RNAcentral lists this ribosomal RNA (497 nucleotides) under uncultured bacterium. RNAcentral describes it as "partial 16S ribosomal RNA". It matches the Rfam family "Bacterial small subunit ribosomal RNA", at positions 28 to 507 of the family's 1533-position model. The record is from RNAcentral.
GAUGAACGCUGGCGGCGUGCCUAAUACAUGCAAGUCGAGCGAACAGACGAGGAGCUUGCUCCUCUGACGUUAGCGGCGGACGGGUGAGUAACACGUGGAUAACCUACCUAUAAGACUGGGAUAACUUCGGGAAACCGGAGCUAAUACCGGAUAAUAUAUUGAACCGCAUGGUUCAAUAGUGAAAGACGGUUUUGCUGUCACUUAUAGAUGGAUCCGCGCCGCAUUAGCUAGUUGGUAAGGUAACGGCUUACCAAGGCAACGAUGCGUAGCCGACCUGAGAGGGUGAUCGGCCACACUGGAACUGAGACACGGUCCAGACUCCUACGGGAGGCAGCAGUAGGGAAUCUUCCGCAAUGGGCGAAAGCCUGACGGAGCAACGCCGCGUGAGUGAUGAAGGUCUUCGGAUCGGAAAACUCUGUUAUUAGGGAAGAACAAAUGUGUAAGUAACUAUGCACGUCUUGACGGUACCUAAUCAGAAGGCCACGGCUAACUACGUG